This is a long non-coding RNA of Prionailurus viverrinus (fishing cat), 867 nucleotides long. RefSeq lists it as uncharacterized. The record is from RefSeq and is a predicted model, not a curated record. NCBI's taxonomy places the organism in Eukaryota, Metazoa, Chordata, Mammalia, Carnivora, Felidae. The transcript has 3 exons.
UUUUAAAAAAUGUUUUCCCAUUAUUUCCAGGAAGAAGUAAAAACCAGUUUGCUUAAGAUUGCCACUUAUCUAACAAUCCUGUGUGGACAUCCUAUGUGUAAGAUGCUGGGAAGACAAAAUAAAUAAGACUUGAUUAUUUUCCUAUGAAAUGCACGAUCUGACUGGAAAGCUGGACAUGUCAACAGUGAAACAUAACACAGUGUGAGAAGAACUAAACUAAUGAACCAAGUCCCUGGCUAAUAAAUAGGGAGGAAUCAAUUCUGUCUGGCCGUCUUCAGUAAUCAUUCAUUCGCUCGUUCAGUGUCCAUUGGUUCAGAGAAUAAGGAACUUGUGAGAAAGAAGCCAAUGACCGAAGGAAAAAGGCGGAGAGAAAUGACAGAUGAAAGCAGUUGAUGGCACAAGGAUGCAGAGCCAUGAGUGCUCCCCGAAGCUCAGGAAACAGGGUCACCUUAUUGCCGCUGCUUAUAACAUAGACGAAUGCAGAUGAGCAAAAUACAUCAAUGUCCGAGGUGCCAACGUGGCUCAACUGAAGAGGUAUCGGCAACAGGACUUUGCAGAACUCCAGGGAGGUGACAUAUUCCAAGGCAGGAAUCGAUAAAGAAUGUUCUCAGAGACGGAGGACUCGCACCCUGAGACAUCAAGUAUUUCUCAGCUCUGUUACUCUCAGACAGCAGAGAGGGGCUUCUCAAGCGAGGGGCUGUUCCAGGAUCACUUAGGGGUGCUUUCAAAGCACAGAGGCCACCGGCCAACUCUCUUCCCACCUCCUCCAAACUCCUCCUUGGAGGACUCUGAGAAGCUGCUCUGGUCAAGAGCCAUGCUCUGAAGAAAAUGUCUUAUAACCAAAGUCUUUGCAGCAUUUUCCUUCUU